AAAUUGAAGAGUUUGAUCAUGGCUCAGAUUGAACGCUGGCGGCAGGCCUAACACAUGCAAGUCGAACGGUAACAGGAAGCAGCUUGCUGCUUUGCUGACGAGUGGCGGACGGGUGAGUAAUGUCUGGGAAACUGCCUGAUGGAGGGGGAUAACUACUGGAAACGGUGGCUAAUACCGCAUAACGUCGCAAGACCAAAGAGGGGGACCUUCGGGCCUCUUGCCAUCAGAUGUGCCCAGAUGGGAUUAGCUUGUUGGUGAGGUAACGGCUCACCAAGGCGACGAUCCCUAGCUGGUCUGAGAGGAUGACCAGCCACACUGGAACUGAGACACGGUCCAGACUCCUACGGGAGGCAGCAGUGGGGAAUAUUGCACAAUGGGCGCAAGCCUGAUGCAGCCAUGCCGCGUGUAUGAAGAAGGCCUUCGGGUUGUAAAGUACUUUCAGCGGGGAGGAAGGUGUUGCGGUUAAUAACCGCAGCAAUUGACGUUACCCGCAGAAGAAGCACCGGCUAACUCCGUGCCAGCAGCCGCGGUAAUACGGAGGGUGCAAGCGUUAAUCGGAAUUACUGGGCGUAAAGCGCACGCAGGCGGUCUGUCAAGUCGGAUGUGAAAUCCCCGGGCUCAACCGGAACUGCAUUCGAAACUGGCAGGCUUGAGUCUUGUAGAGGGGGGUAGAAUUCCAGGUGUAGCGGUGAAAUGCGUAGAGAUCUGGAGGAAUACCGGUGGCGAAGGCGGCCCCCUGGACAAAGACUGACGCUCAGGUGCGAAAGCGUGGGGAGCAAACAGGAUUAGAUACCCUGGUAGUCCACGCCGUAAACGAUGUCUACUUGGAGGUUGUGCCCUUGAGGCGUGGCUUCCGGAGCUAACGCGUUAAGUAGACCGCCUGGGGAGUACGGCCGCAAGGUUAAAACUCAAAUGAAUUGACGGGGGCCCGCACAAGCGGUGGAGCAUGUGGUUUAAUUCGAUGCAACGCGAAGAACCUUACCUGGUCUUGACAUCCACAGAACUUUCCAGAGAUGGAUUGGUGCCUUCGGGAACUGUGAGACAGGUGCUGCAUGGCUGUCGUCAGCUCGUGUUGUGAAAUGUUGGGUUAAGUCCCGCAACGAGCGCAACCCUUAUCCUUUGUUGCCAGCGGUUAGGCCGGGAACUCAAAGGAGACUGCCAGUGAUAAACUGGAGGAAGGUGGGGAUGACGUCAAGUCAUCAUGGCCCUUACGACCGGGCUACACACGUGCUACAAUGGCGCAUACAAAGAGAAGCGACCUCGCGAGAGCAAGCGGACCUCAUAAAGUGCGUCGUAGUCCGGAUUGGAGUCUGCAACUCGACUCCAUGAAGUCGGAAUCGCUAGUAAUCGUGGAUCAGAAUGCCACGGUGAAUACGUUCCCGGGCCUUGUACACACCGCCCGUCACACCAUGGGAGUGGGUUGCAAAAGAAGUAGGUAGCUUAACCUUCGGGAGGGCGCUUACCACUUUGUGAUUCAUGACUGGGGUGAAGUCGUAACAAGGUAACCGUAGGGGAACCUGCGGUUGGAUCACCUCCUUACCUUAAAGAAGC
Molecule: ribosomal RNA, 1551 nt
Filed under: Salmonella enterica subsp. enterica serovar Adjame
Lineage: Bacteria; Pseudomonadati; Pseudomonadota; Gammaproteobacteria; Enterobacterales; Enterobacteriaceae
Description: bacterial SSU rRNA
Rfam family: Bacterial small subunit ribosomal RNA
Source: RNAcentral